UACGGGGGGGGCAAGCGUUGUUCGGAAUUACUGGGCGUAAAGGGCUCGUAGGCGGCCAACUAAGUCAGACGUGAAAUCCCUCGGCUUAACCGGGGAACUGCGUCUGAUACUGGAUGGCUAGAGGUUGGGAGAGGGAUGCGGAAUUCCAGGUGUAGCGGUGAAAUGCGUAGAUAUCUGGAGGAACACCGGUGGCGAAGGCGGCAUCCUGGACCGAUACUGACGCUGAGGAGCGAAAGCCAGGGGAGCAAACGGG
This 253-nucleotide ribosomal RNA is filed under the name uncultured bacterium. Its description in RNAcentral is "partial 16S ribosomal RNA". It matches the Rfam family "Bacterial small subunit ribosomal RNA", at positions 524 to 776 of the family's 1533-position model. The record is from RNAcentral.